GUUAGUAUUUCCUGCAGCAGCUCAUAAACUAAAAUUUAAACCACUAGGAAAAAUAAAGAAAAUCCAGCUUCCCUGCCUGGUAGGCUCUAGUGCAACCUUGCCUUUGAGCAACAACAGCACAGCAAUACAAUAAUUCUGAGGUCUGAGGACUCCUUGGCAGAAUAUGGGAAGACAUGCACUGUGACACUUUAUUUGCUGACUUCUUGGACCUCAUCUAUCCUUGGAAAGAAAAAUGUUGGCACCUUCUAGUAAGCACUGACACAGAGGAACUGUUUUCAUGUGUUCUACUUCAUCACCCACUGCAUACACCCUGGGGAAGGAGAACAAAUGAAGCAUGCAAGGGAAAGGAAAUCCAUCAAACCCCUGAAUGCUGGGAGAGCUCUUCUGCUGGAAGGAGUGACAAGUUAGGCUCCACAAAUAAACUUCAACAUAUCCAGGAGGAACAGUGUUACAUCACACAGGUUCCUAUGGAAUCAAGACAAGGAUUUUUGGCAUGUAGGAAACACACCUGGCUUCACCAGUGUGACUGAGACAUUGAGCAGUGCAACACAAACUGCUUGUAUUUAACACAUGAACAACCACUGUGGACUGUUCUGUGAGACUGGCAGGAAAUUCUGUACCCACCUCACUGGGACAGCUAUUCCCCACUGAUCAAAAGCAGAUGGGGAAAGGCCUGGGCAGCUCUUGGGAAGGCAGCACAGGAAAGGCUUCAGAAGGAAUCAGCCCUCUGAGGGUGUGCAGAGGCUCCUGCCAGAGCUGGAAGCAGACUUGUGCCUGUCUGGGGAAACACAGCUGCAAAGAAAUAAUCCUUUCAUAUUAAAACUAAAUGAAGUUGAUUCCAGUGAACCACAUCAAGAUCCUGAAGUUCUACCACAGCUCAGCUGUCUUU
Molecule: long non-coding RNA, 889 nt
Filed under: Cyanistes caeruleus (blue tit)
Lineage: Eukaryota; Metazoa; Chordata; Aves; Passeriformes; Paridae
Description: lncRNA (ENSCCEG00000021263.1)
Source: RNAcentral